AACGCACCUUGCGCCCCUUGGUAUUCCGAGGGGCAUGCCUGUUUGAGUGUCAUGAAAUAUCAAUCCCUCGGGUUUUCCCCGAUCGAUUGGACUUGGGCCUGCCUCCCUGGCUUGCCUUAAAUGCGUCAGUGGGCCAAGCCCCGAGCAGACUUAAUAAGUUUCGUCUCCCUCGGAGUGUAACCCUCUUAGAAACCCCCUUUUUAUCUCUGACCUCAAAUCAGGUAGGACUACCCGCUGAACUUAA
Molecule: unclassified non-coding RNA, 244 nt
Filed under: Bartalinia sp.
Lineage: Eukaryota; Fungi; Ascomycota; Sordariomycetes; Amphisphaeriales; Sporocadaceae
Description: partial contains 5.8S ribosomal RNA, internal transcribed spacer 2, and large subunit ribosomal RNA
Rfam family: 5.8S ribosomal RNA (bases 1-52)
Source: RNAcentral